GUGGGGAAUUGUUCGCAAUGGGCGCAAGCCUGACGACGCAACGCCGCGUGGAGGAUGAAGACCUUCGGGUCGUAAACUCCUUUCGAUCGAGACGAAUGGCUCCCGGGUGAACAAUCCGGGAGAGUGACGGUACCGAGAGAAGAAGCCCCGGCUAACUCCGUGCCAGCAGCCGCGGUAAUACGGGGGGGGCAAGCGUUGUUCGGAAUUACUGGGCGUAAAGGGCUCGUAGGCGGCCAACUAAGUCAAACGUGAAAUCCCUCGGCUUAACCGGGGAACUGCGCUUGAUACUGGAUGGCUUGAGAUUGGGAGAGGGAUGCGGAAUUCCAGGUGUAGCGGUGAAAUGCGUAGAUAUCUGGAGGAACACCGGUGGCGAAGGCGGCAUCCUGGACCAACACUGACGCUGAAUAGCGAAAGCCAGGGGAGCAAACGGGAUUAGAUACCCUUGUAGUCC
RNAcentral lists this ribosomal RNA (451 nucleotides) under uncultured bacterium. RNAcentral describes it as "bacterial SSU rRNA". It matches the Rfam family "Bacterial small subunit ribosomal RNA", at positions 354 to 796 of the family's 1533-position model. The record is from RNAcentral.